GAUGAACGCUGGCGGCGUGCCUAAUACAUGCAAGUCGAGCGAACGGACGAGAAGCUUGCUUUUCUGAUGUUAGCGGCGGACGGGUGAGUAACACGUGGAUAACCUACCUAUAAGACUGGGAUAACUUCGGGAAACCGGAGCUAAUACCGGAUAAUAUUUUGAACCGCAUGGUUCAUAAGUGAAAGACGGUCUUGCUGUCACUUAUAGAUGGAUCCGCGCUGCAUUAGCUAGUUGGUAAGGUAACGGCUUACCAAGGCUACGAUGCAUAGCCGACCUGAGAGGGUGAUCGGCCACACUGGAACUGAGACACGGUCCAGACUCCUACGGGAGGCAGCAGUAGGGAAUCUUCCGCAAUGGGCGAAAGCCUGACGGAGCAACGCCGCGUGAGUGAUGAAGGUCUUCGGAUCGUAAAACUCUGUUAUUAGGGAAGAACAUAUGUGUAAGUAACUGUGCACAUCUUGACGGUACCUAAUCAGAAAGCCACGGCUAACUACGUG
RNAcentral lists this ribosomal RNA (497 nucleotides) under uncultured bacterium. RNAcentral describes it as "partial 16S ribosomal RNA". It matches the Rfam family "Bacterial small subunit ribosomal RNA", at positions 28 to 507 of the family's 1533-position model. The record is from RNAcentral.